RNAcentral lists this long non-coding RNA (388 nucleotides) under Elaeis guineensis (African oil palm). RNAcentral's name for it is "long non-coding RNA (EGUI_LNC018772)". The record is from RNAcentral. Lineage: Eukaryota; Viridiplantae; Streptophyta; Magnoliopsida; Arecales; Arecaceae.
AACUCUUAAUCCUCCUCCUCACAUCUAAUCCUAAACCUAACUCUAACCCGAUGAACGCUGUUCCACAAUCUCCUAACCCAAUGCCCAAAACUUACAGACCAAUAAGCGAAAUCCAAAAUCCGUGGACCUCAGACUCGCUAACCCAAAUCCUAUAACCCAUAGACUCUUUCAUGUGGAAUUUACUUUGAUCUUUGUGCAACUGUGCUGUCCUAUGAUUCUCCUUACUUUGGCAUUUGGCAAGAUCUGAUGGGUUAAAUACAUAUCAAAGGCAUGCUAUUUUGUAUAACCUUAGCUAAGAAUUAUCAAGCCAGUAUUGGAUUUAUGAGUGGAUAUCUACCACACUUUGUGCAAUUGUGCUACCCAACACAAGAUUGCAUCAUCCUGUAAC